CUGCCCAAAUUUCUGUUUUGGGUAGAAAAAUUAAGAAGGAAGCCUUUUUCCUUCCUUUGGUGUCAAGGCCUACACUGUGGGCCAACGUCCUGACGGCCGGCCUCUUCCGGUUCCCUCCCCAUUUGCCCUCACAGGUGUUUCCCUUAUAAAUCUUGCACAGCUUGGUCUUGUUUUGGCAUUUGUUUCUCAGAGGACCAGGUUUAACAAGGUUCAGGGAUCACUUGACAGAUUGUCUUUGGGAAGACACCUUCUUAUAGCCAUAGUUGUUAUGUUUGGAAUGGACUUGACCAUCCCCUCCUCUUGGUCUGGAGCUGUGGACAGUGAAGCCAGCCUAUCUAGGAAGAAAAAGGUACGUUCUUCGCAAAGAUUGCUCAGUACGUACAUUGAUGACUUAGAAUGUUGGGAGCCUCCAUGUUU
RNAcentral lists this long non-coding RNA (417 nucleotides) under Mustela putorius furo (domestic ferret). Its description in RNAcentral is "lncRNA (ENSMPUG00000030606.1)". Lineage: Eukaryota; Metazoa; Chordata; Mammalia; Carnivora; Mustelidae. The record is from RNAcentral.